AGAGUGGAAGUUUAAAAAUAUUUGACCUGCAAUCAAAAGAAGGCUUGAAAGCCCCACUUUA
This 61-nucleotide transfer RNA is filed under the name Leucolepas longa. RNAcentral's name for it is "tRNA-Ala". Lineage: Eukaryota; Metazoa; Arthropoda; Thecostraca; Neolepadidae. RNAcentral also lists the same sequence under 1 other name. The record is from RNAcentral.